RNAcentral lists this transfer RNA (75 nucleotides) under Rhizoctonia solani AG-1 IB. Its description in RNAcentral is "tRNA-Gly". Lineage: Eukaryota; Fungi; Basidiomycota; Agaricomycetes; Cantharellales; Ceratobasidiaceae. The record is from RNAcentral.
GUUCGAUUAGCCAGGGGUUCGAUUCCCCUUUCACGCAGCGUGAAUGGGGUAGUGGUAACCUUAAUCGUUGCCAGC